CUUCUAGUACUCCUAUUUUCUUGAUAUUAUUUUUUUUUAAUAGGCACUUGUUGGUGAUAAGACAUUGGCAUUUCGAUUGAUGGAUGCAGAGAUGUACACAAACAUGAGUGUGUUCACACCUCUUACUCCAGUUAUUGAUCGCGGAAUCCAGCUUCAUAAAAUGAUUCGCCUCAUUACUCACACGCUUGGAGGAGAUGGCUAUCUGAACUUCAUGGGUAAGUAAUCUUAGGAGCAUGUCUUUCAUUUUCUUAUCUACAGAAGGCUUGGCAGGGAAAUAAAAAUAUAUGGUACCAUCUUACAACUAUAUAUUUUUUUUAAAUAAAAAUUUAGCACAAGUGGUAACACACAUUUUUUCCAUCUUUAAGACAUGUUGUAAAACAGGAAAAUAAAAUCAGUGGGGCCCCUAAUUGUAAAAGAAAUAAGUUCUUUAAAGUUUCAGGUUACUCAUCUUUAUAGUUCAACUGAGUAUUUUAAUUGUAGGUCUGCAGAUCUGUCUGUGUAAGUCUUACCUUUCAAAACCAGGUUGCCUUUUGUCUCUUCUCUCAAGAUUUUUAGAGUAGCACUGAAAUAACUGAGGAUAGCUCUUAUUUCAGUUAUUCACGAUCAAAUAAUUAGUGCAAGAAAGUAAUCUGGAAUCAGUUGUUUUAUAUUUCUUUGCUUUCAAGUGAAGAGCAGGAGUUUAAUAAGGUGUAGGCAAAAAUGAGUCAGAGACAGGAAACACGUCCUGCUGGGGAAGCAGGGAAACAGUGAGAGCUAGCAGUAAUUUUUUUUUCUUCAUAAUCUCUAAAAUACAACUGUUGCAUUGCUUCCUAAAUACUAUUGCUACAAACCAUCCCAUAGUUCUCAUUUGAUCAGACAGUUAGAGUUCCAUGUAGUGGUCUUAAAAAAUUAAUGUUAUUAGUUUUACAUGCUGAAACAAUUUAUGCUUGAUGACCUCUUCCUUAAUUUCUUUGCAAAAUAACCCUUAUGGCAUCUAUAGUAAAAAAGAAGAAAAUUACAAUUCUGUAAUGUGGUAUAUCAAGUUUUAUACAGCAGUUCUGCUAGUCACAUGAAAGGUGAAAAAGGCUGAAAGCAUGCUGAAAGCAUUCAUCUUGGAUGAUUCUCAAACAAUAAAAUACUGAAAAUUACAGAAGCUUUAACUUAAUAUUGCCUUCAGUUUUUGUUAUUAAAUGUCAUUUACUAUCAAGUUUGAGGAGAACUGGAUGUACUUUGUUCUCUUAAUACUACGUUUAAAAUACACAUAAUGCAUAUGUAUAAUGAAAGAGUAUAUAGAAGUGUAACCAGUAAGUAUACAGAGAAGCUAGGCUGGUCUUUCAAGAGCAUAUAGCUGGAAAGAUUAUUACAUUGGAAAAGAUAAUCAGAAAUAAAUGGAAAAAUGCUCACCAGUGUUGUAGGCACACAAGAAAACUCCACGAGGAGCAAUCUCCAGAGAGAGACCCUUCCUCAGUGGCAGUCAGCCAUUAAAUGGGGUCUAGGAGAGGUGGAGCCAGACUCUACCCCUUCCAGUCACACAGGUGAACUACCUUCACCUGGGCUCCUGCAGCUCACCUCAGGUGAUCAAUCAGAGGUUCAGGCCCUGAUUCAACAGUUCCCAUACAUACAUAUUAAUAUGUUUCUAAUUAAAAAGAAAAGAAGGAAAACUUUAAAAAAGGAAUGCUGGCAUUUGAUUUAAGUAUGUCUGUACUGUUCUGCCCCUCAGCAGUAAAAGAGCA
This 1712-nucleotide long non-coding RNA is filed under the name Gallus gallus (chicken). Lineage: Eukaryota; Metazoa; Chordata; Aves; Galliformes; Phasianidae. The record is from RNAcentral.